GCACGGGUAUCCUACUAUAACAUGCAGUCGAGCGAAAGAUAAGGAGCUUGCUCCUUUGACGUUAGCGGCGGACGGGUGAGUAACACGUGGGUAACCUACCUAUAAGACUGGGAUAACUUCGGGAAACCGGAGCUAAUACCGGAUAACAUUUGGAACCGCAUGGUUCUAAAGUGAAAGAUGGUUUUGCUAUCACUUAUAGAUGGACCCGCGCCGUAUUAGCUAGUUGGUAAGGUAACGGCUUACCAAGGCGACGAUACGUAGCCGACCUGAGAGGGUGAUCGGCCACACUGGAACUGAGACACGGUCCAGACUCCUACGGGAGGCAGCAGUAGGGAAUCUUCCGCAAUGGGCGAAAGCCUGACGGAGCAACGCCGCGUGAGUGAUGAAGGGUUUCGGCUCGUAAAACUCUGUUAUUAGGGAAGAACAAAUGUGUAAGUAACUGUGCACGUCUUGACGGUACCUAAUCAGAAAGCCACGGCUAACUACGUGCCAGCAGCCGCGGUAAUACGUAGGUGGCAAGCGUUAUCCGGAAUUAUUGGGCGUAAAGCGCGCGUAGGCGGUUUCUUAAGUCUGAUGUGAAAGCCCACGGCUCAACCGUGGAGGGUCAUUGGAAACUGGGAAACUUGAGUGCAGAAGAGGAAAGUGGAAUUCCAUGUGUAGCGGUGAAAUGCGCAGAGAUAUGGAGGAACACCAGUGGCGAAGGCGACUUUCUGGUCUGUAACUGACGCUGAUGUGCGAAAGCGUGGGGAUCAAACAGGAUUAGAUACCCUGGUAGUCCACGCCGUAAACGAUGAGUGCUAAGUGUUAAGGGGGUUUCCGCCCCUUAGUGCUGCAGCUAACGCAUUAAGCACUCCGCCUGGGGGAGUACGACCGCAAGGUUGAAACUCAAAGGAAUUGACGGGGACCCGCACAAGCGGUGGAGCAUGUGGUUUAAUUCGAAGCAACGCGAAGAACCUUACCAAAUCUUGACAUCCUUUGAAAACUCUAGAGAUAGAGCUUUCCCCUUCGGGGGACAAAGUGACAGGUGGUGCAUGGUUGUCGUCAGCUCGUGUCGUGAGAUGUUGGGUUAAGUCCCGCAACGAGCGCAACCCUUAAGCUUAGUUGCCAUCAUUAAGUUGGGCACUCUAGGUUGACUGCCGUGACAAACCGGAGGAAAGGUGGGGAUGACGUCAAAUCAUCAUGCCCCUUAUGAUUUGGGCUACACACGUGCUACAAUGGACAAUACAAAGGGCAGCUAAACCGCGAGGGCAUGCAAAUCCCAUAAAGUUGUUUCCAGUUCGGAUUGUAGCCUGCACUCGGCCUCCUGAAACUGGGAUCCCUAGAAACCGAAAAACCAUGGUCCGGGGAAUACUUUCCCGGGUUUGGACACCCCCCCGUCACCCCGAAAUUUGUACCCCCCACCCGGGGGGAACCUUU
Molecule: ribosomal RNA, 1416 nt
Filed under: Staphylococcus saprophyticus
Lineage: Bacteria; Bacillati; Bacillota; Bacilli; Caryophanales; Staphylococcaceae
Description: bacterial SSU rRNA
Rfam family: Bacterial small subunit ribosomal RNA
Source: RNAcentral